RNAcentral lists this transfer RNA (65 nucleotides) under Diaphanosoma dubium. Its description in RNAcentral is "tRNA-Trp". The record is from RNAcentral. Lineage: Eukaryota; Metazoa; Arthropoda; Branchiopoda; Diplostraca; Sididae.
AGAGGUUUAAGUUAAAAUUAAACUAUAAGCCUUCAAAGUUUAAAAUGGGUUAGGCCCAAUCUCUA